CACAACUACCAGAGGAGAGAGCCCAGCAGGAGCCCACAGAGCACCGACACCCUCCAGGCCUUCACGCGCUGCCUGGAUGAAGAAAGUAUCGUGCUGCCGUGCGUUUUGUUUGCAGCCUCGGUACGCGCUUUACACUAAGUGAUGAGUUGCUGACAGCAGGAAGAGGCAGAGGGAGGACAGCUGCUCCAGAGGCCCUGAGGAGCCUCCUGAGAGAAGACUCCGUGGGGAUGCUGCCGUCCUGUCACAGCGUAGCUCCAUCCCGCAGCCCUCCACCUCUUCCUCUACCCCACCACAGGCCAGGCAGGAGGAUGUCCAGCUGGAGGUUCAGUGUCCGAGAGCAUCAUGGCCUGGAUGUCUGACUGUCCAUUCAGCCGGGAGAUGUGAGACUCCUGCAGGAAACAGGCCUGGUGCAGAGCUCCACUGCUGGACCAGCCAGUAGCUGUGACAGGACCACACACACACAAACACAUUUUUAGUUUUACAUUUUUAAUUCUUUAUUACUUUAUAGAUAAGUUUUUAAUAUUUCUCUUUUUAGUAUGUUGAUAAGUUUUACAUUGUGAAGGCACCUCUCUAACUUCUGAUAUCAAGUUUGCUUUUGCCUGUUACUGUUUUCCCUUUUUCCUUGAAGGUAUCACAGGAACACGUUUGCGACAGACCUGGUCCGAGCCUCCCAGGGACUAAAAGCCACUCGAGUUGCUCUGGUCUCUCUUUUCACCUGGACUCACCGCUGCCAGCAUCUGUACACUUUGACCUUUGUCUUUUACUGACGGACAC
Molecule: long non-coding RNA, 774 nt
Organism: Cottoperca gobio
Lineage: Eukaryota; Metazoa; Chordata; Actinopteri; Perciformes; Bovichtidae
Exons: 5
Source: RefSeq, a predicted model, not a curated record